Molecule: ribosomal RNA, 477 nt
Filed under: uncultured bacterium
Lineage: Bacteria
Description: partial 16S ribosomal RNA
Rfam family: Bacterial small subunit ribosomal RNA
Source: RNAcentral
GAUGAACGCUGGCGGCGUGCUUAACACAUGCAAGUCGAACGAGAAGUGGAGACGGAAACCUUCGGGCGGAGGACUUUAUUUCGAGUGGCGGACGGGUGAGUAACGCGUGGGUAACCUGCCUCAUACAGGGGGAUAACAGUUGGAAACGACUGUUAAUACCGCAUAAGACCACAGCACCGCAUGGUGCGGGGGUAAAAACUCCGGUGGUAUGAGAUGGACCCGCGUUCGAUUAGCCAGUUGGCGGGGUAACGGCCCACCAAAGCGACGAUCGAUAGCCGAUCUGAGAGGAUGACCGGCCACAUUGGGACUGAGACACGGCCCAAACUCCUACGGGAGGCAGCAGUGGGGAAUAUUGCACAAUGGGGGAAACCCUGAUGCAGCGACGCCGCGUGAGUGAAGAAGUAUUUCGGUAUGUAAAGCUCUAUCAGCAGGGAAGAAAAUGACGGUACCUGAGUAAGAAGCCCCGGCUAACUACGU